CAGUGAUAAACUGGAGGAAGGUGGGGAUGACGUCAAGUCAUCAUGGCCCUUACGAGUAGGGCUACACACGUGCUACAAUGGCAUAUACAAAGAGAAGCGACCUCGCGAGAGCAAGCGGACCUCAUAAAGUAUGUCGUAGUCCGGAUUGGAGUCUGCAACUCGACUCCAUGAAGUCGGAAUCGCUAGUAAUCGUGGAUCAGAAUGCCACGGUGAAUACGUUCCCGGGCCUUGUACACACCGCCCGUCACACCAUGGGAGUGGGUUGCAAAAGAAGUAGGUAGCUUAACCUUCGGGAGGGCGCUUACCACUUUGUGAUUCAUGACUGGGGUGAAGUCGUAACAAGGUAACCGUAGGGGAACCUGCGGUUGGAUCACCUCCUU
This 380-nucleotide ribosomal RNA is filed under the name Klebsiella oxytoca. RNAcentral's name for it is "bacterial SSU rRNA". It matches the Rfam family "Bacterial small subunit ribosomal RNA", at positions 1153 to 1532 of the family's 1533-position model. Lineage: Bacteria; Pseudomonadati; Pseudomonadota; Gammaproteobacteria; Enterobacterales; Enterobacteriaceae. RNAcentral also lists the same sequence under 1 other name. The record is from RNAcentral.